ACCAGGUCUCACCUCGCUCCUGGGCAGCUACGCGGAGAACUGGGGCACUUUGUUUUAGUAAAAUCGGGGGUGAAGAUGGAGAUAUUCGCUGAGGUUUUCAGUCACUUCUUGUUGCAGUUAACAGAACUGACACUGAAUAUGUGCUUAGAACUGCCAACGGGCUCUUUGGAGAAAAGUCUUAUGAUUUCCUCACAGGUUUUACAGAUUCCUGUGGGAAAUUCUACCAAGCAAUGAUAAAACAGCUAGACUUUGUGAAUGAUACAGAGAAGUCCACAACACGUGUAAACUCCUGGGUUGCUGAUAAGACUAAAGACUUCUCUGAUGGAUGACCUCUGUGAAGCAAAUGGCACUUUUGCCAUCAGCUUAUUUAAAAUCUUGGGGGAAGAGGACAACUCAAGAAACGUAUUCUUCUCUCCCAUGAGCAUCUCCUCUGCCCUGGCCAUGGUCUUCAUGGGGGCAAAGGGAAGCACCGCAGCCCAGAUAUCCCAGGCACUUUGUUUAUACAAAGACGGAGAUAUUCACCAAGGUUUCCAGUCACUUCUCAGUGAAGUUAACAGAACUGGCACUCAGAACUUGCUUAGAACUGCCAACCGACUCUUUGGAGAAAAGACGUGUGAUUUCCUUCCAGACUUUAAAGAAUCCUGUCAGAAGUUCUAUCAGGCAGAGCUGGAGGAGUUGUCC
Molecule: small RNA, 681 nt
Filed under: Pongo abelii (Sumatran orangutan)
Lineage: Eukaryota; Metazoa; Chordata; Mammalia; Primates; Hominidae
Description: processed transcript
Source: RNAcentral